UACGUAGGAGGCGAGCGUUGUCCGGAAUUACUGGGUGUAAAGCGCGCGUAGGUGGGAGGCCAAGUCUGUGGUGAAAUCGCCCGGCUCAACUGGGCGGGGUCCAUGGAAACUGGUCACCUGGAGGACGGUAGAGGCGAGUGGAAUUCCCGGUGUAGUGGUGAAAUGCGUAGAGAUCGGGAGGAACACCAGUGGCGAAGGCGGCUCGCUGGGCUGGUCCUGACACUGAGGCGCGAAGGCGUGGGGAGCGAACGGG
RNAcentral lists this ribosomal RNA (253 nucleotides) under uncultured bacterium. RNAcentral describes it as "partial 16S ribosomal RNA". It matches the Rfam family "Bacterial small subunit ribosomal RNA", at positions 524 to 776 of the family's 1533-position model. The record is from RNAcentral.